GUUUUGGUUUGCAGAAUCUUUGUGUGACGGCGGCACAUCUUCCUAUCCGAGAGAUUCUGGAAAAAGAAAAGAAGGAGAGGAGUGUGGCUGAAGCGGAAAACCGACCAAUGCCUAAGUUAUAUAGCAGUACAGACAUAAGACCCUUGACGAUGAAUGACUUCAAGGCCGCACAUGAUCAGGUAUGUGCGAGUGUGUCGUCUGAUUCAUCGAACAUGAACGAGCUUCAGCAGUGGAACGAGCUGUAUGGAGAAGGAGGGUCGAGGAAGAAGACAUCACUGAGCUACUUCAUGUAAAAAGAGAGAAAGAGAAAACAGAGAGAGAUCGUGUUUUCAUCUGUUUAUGAAUAAUGUUUAUACAUCUCUCUUUUGAUCUUUAGUUCUUAAGUUUAUAUAGAAUUUAUGUACAGAGAGAGAGUCCCUCUUGAAUUGUCUAAUAUGGGGUUUUGUUGGUUCUCGAUUCUUUUCUUCCAUCUCCAAAAAUAUUCAGAAACAUCAUUAAUACAGAUGAGAUGUACAAUAUCUAUUUUACAUU
Non-coding RNA from Camelina sativa (false flax), 531 nucleotides. Lineage: Eukaryota; Viridiplantae; Streptophyta; Magnoliopsida; Brassicales; Brassicaceae. The record is from RefSeq and is a predicted model, not a curated record.